UUUUUUUUUUUUUUUUUUUAAAGACAUUGAGUUUAUUGUCCUUACUAGAGGACACAUGGUUUUUACCUUUUUUUAUCAAAAAUGAAAACCUGAAGUCAUUUUUAAAAAUUCUUUGUUUUGGAGUUCCCGUCGUGGCGCAGUGGUUAACGAAUCCGACUAGGAACCAUGAGGUUGCGGGUUCGGUCCCUUCCCUUGCUCAAACCUGUGGCCUCACGGAUACUAGUUGGGUUUGUUAACCACUGAGCCAAGAGGGGAACUCCCAGAGUAGAUUUUCUUGUGCUAUAGAGUAGCUUCUCCUUAAUCAUCUACUUUAUAUAGUAUAAACACUAAUUUUGAAUCACACAGAAAAGCCUAUUUCAUAUUAGCAUUACAUAUGAACGGAAUAAUAAGUACACAAUAUUUUAAAGAGUUUUGUUUUUUUUUAAAGAGUAUAUAAGUUUUAGGCAACGAGUUAAUUAGAUGCCUUGUUUGUCAAGUUUACCCCAUUUCCUGGCUAGACAGGGUCACUAAGCCAUUGCUAUAUUAGACUCAGUGAAUAUUAGCUUUCCAUGUGUAUUUGGGGAAAUGAAAACAUGUCCAAAUACACAUGCUUCUUGACAUUUUACUUCCUUUAAUUUUCGCUUUUUAAUCCAUUUCCCUUUAAGUCUUUAAUCAUCUUUCCAGUAAAGAUUUUCCCUUUCAUUCUGUUCAUGUGUCUGAGGAAUUAAAUAUCCUAUUCUCAGUGGUUUCAUGUAAUCAAAACCUCCCGAUUCAAACCCUGUGUGCAAUCUGCAGGGAGAAAUGAUUAAAAGCGCUUUGCAGAUUUGUUUACGCUCUGCUCAGAAUAAGAAAGUGCAGACUUUUAAAUAUCUGCGAAGAGACUGCCAAUCCAUUACCAUUCUGGAUGAACUUUCUGAACAAGACAUUUUCCAUUAUUUACAGUAUGAGAUGCUUGCAGUCAAGUUUCUGCUAGAAACACUUUUGGGUAAUAGAUGGCACAAAACGAGGCCACGUCGGUCGGUUUCAUGCGCACAAGCUCAUUAAAGUUUUAAACACCCAGACCAAACCACAACCUCUGGCAGCCAUUGCUGAAAGGCCCCAAAAGAUUCCCCAGCAGAAAUAAAGCCAUGGACACAGAUGAAAUUUAGGGCGUGGGGGUGUCGAGGAAGUGAGACAGCAAUUUUUAGAGUAUUUUUUUAUGUAAAUGCUUCCAAGGGACCGAUUCUUACCCUAAGAGUCUUCCAUGGCUGCAGUGGGGGCACCUCACUGAAAGAUUGAUUAUCCGAUGAUGAAGUAGGGACAACGAGUCAUGUUCUUUAAAAGCGACUGCUCAUGAAGGAAAGGAAAACACGGGCCUGUCAUUCAAGGAGACACAGGAUGGAGAGAGAUGCUCACAAGCACAGAGCUUGGAGAGCAACAGAUCUGGAUUUAAACCUCAGCUGCGCUGCACACCACUUGUGGGACCUAAAGCAAACCAGGGAACUUCUGUGCACGAGGUGGUAUGUGUCAAAUGGGGCAUAUCACUCCUAAUCUCAAAGGAAGACUGUACUUGACACAAACAUGAUUCCAUAAAAUGUGGAGCAAACUCUGGAGUACGUGCACGUAAAAAUUUUAACUAUGUUGAAUGCUAUUAUGAUUCUUCUAUCUAAUGGAUUGUAUUAACUGUGAAAAUUCUUCUAAUUUCCAGGCGUGUAAUUCAUUGUUUCUAGGUUUGAGUCUUAAAAUGACUGGCAUCAGCACUUUAACUGGUAGAUUUUAUACUGAGCAAUCAAGACACUCCAUUGCCAGAACUGAGAGUACACAGGGGACCCUGGGACAGCUCAGGAGUGAGGGGUACCAAUUCUCCUCGAAGUCAAAAACCUGCACAUAACUUUAUAAUCACGAAUCUGUAUCUAUGGUCCCACAUCCUAGAUUCAACCGACUGCGGAUUGUGCAGUACUGCAGCAUGUAUUUGUUGACAGAAAUCCAUGUGUAAGUGAACCCGCCAUUCAAACCCAUGUCUUUCAAAGGUCAACUCUAUGUAUUUUGUGUCUAUAACCACAAAUGAUCAGGAGCCGAGCAUAUUUAUAAGACAGUUACCAAAAAAACCAAAACAGACUUCUAGAGUAGGUUUUCUUAAGGAGAACCUACGAAAUCCUUCUUUUGCUUAAGCAAUGUACGCUCUAGGAAUGAUUUUAGGGAGCAUUAGCUGCACCAGAAAUGUGGAGAAGAGUGGAUACUUAAGUAUCGAGAGGAAUUUAAAAGUUAAUUGUUGGGGUUAGAGAAAGUAGGUUACCUGAAAUCAAGGAACGGGAGGAGGGUCAGGAGAGGAAGAAUUAACAUGCUGCUCCAGCCCUGAUGGUUAGACGAGGAAACGAGAGAAGUGGACAGUGAGAGAACCACGGGAAUAGAGAUUCACCCUUGGGAUGCCGAAGGGCCGGGGGUGCGCCGUGGCAGCAAACCCCCAGCAGGGCGCACCCUACGGUGAAAUUCAGACCAGGUUGAAAAAGAAGAGUCCUUACAUUCUGGGACGAAGGCCAGAGUUCAAAACCAAAAACAGGGGAUCAUUAUUGUAAUCUGGAAGGAUGCAUAUAACGCUAUUCACAUUCCAAGCCAGAAGCAGACUGUGCUCCGAAAGUUUACUAUUUUAUCCCCCUUAAACCAUAUAUAAAUUUCUCUGUUAUGACACUGAUACACAAGUUCUCUGUGAUUUAACUGUGAUUAUAAAUGCUGAGAGAACAGUGACCAAGAAAACAAGGUCUUAUAAAGAACAGACUUGUGGUUGUCAAGGCGGGGGGGGGGGGNGUAGAGGCAAACUAUGACAUUUAGAAUAGAUAAGCAAUGAGGUCCUGCUGUACAGCACAGGGACCUCUAUCCACUCUCUUGGGAUCGACCAUGAUGGAAGAUAAUAUUACAAAGGGAAUAUAUUUAUAUAUAUAUGACUGGGUCACUUUGCCAUACAGCAGAAACUGGCACAGCAUCAUAAAUCAACUAUAGUUUAAAAACAAUAAAAAGAUAAACAAAAGAAGAUAAGAUCUUUAACAAUGAAGGGCAAGUAAGUUUAACAAUCCUGAAACAAUAAUACGAGCUAAUAUUUAUUGAGCACUUAUCAGUUGCCAGGUACCGUAAUCUUAUUUUUUAAAGUGGAAAAAUGAAGCAGAGAUGCAUAACACCUGGUAAAUAGUACCAGCUUUAGUAACAGUGGGGAAAUUGAUUGUGUAUUAAGCUAGAGAGAGGGUCAGAGAGAGAAAAACAGAGAGAAAGACAGAAAGAGAGAGAUUUGGUAAGUUUAUGGAAAUACUUAGCAUUAGUUUCCUGACACAUAAAAUGAGAUUAAAAAUAUGAACUGGGGAAGGUUGUGAGGAAGAGUGGUAGGAGUUAAUGCAUAAUCUAUUAAAACCUUAAUAUGAGCAAGAACGGUUCCAAGUGCUUCACAAGGACAGCCCAUCCGUUUGCACAACAAAGCCAUGAGAAGAACACCCUUGACCUGCAACUGUACAGGUUAGGACACUGGGGGCAGGAAGGUGAAGGGACUUCUGCAGAAUGACUGUUAAUAAGUUGCAGAGUGGCUUUUUAGGCCAGGCAUUCCGGUCCCAAAGCCCAGUCUCUUCAAUACUAUAUGCUUUCCCAUCAAUACCACACUUAAGAUCUUAUUUAUACAUGUGAGCGUGCUUAGGUCUAUAUAAACUCAUACACAUUUUACACAUGCAUAUUAAAACGUGUUCAUAAUGUACAUAAAACAAAAUAAACUCCCCAUAGGCUAUUGUUGUUGUCAUUUUUAUUGCAAUUAUUAUUAUCAUUUCAUAGAAACUAAUUCUGUCCUACAGCUCAUUUCUGGAACCAGGACCCUUUAAGUCUUAGGGUAACCAUAGAAAAAAAGGAAAUAAAGAACAGGAGAAAAAUAAAAAAAUUUGACUGGCUUAUAGAGUUUUUGAUAUCGUGCUAUCUGAUUGGACAUAGAAGUGAGGCAAGUUUUUUCUGCCAUACUUCUGUAAGGACAUUCUACUUUCAUUCCAAAUAAAUUCUAGGCAAUUAGAAUACUAACAAGAACAAAAUAAACUUUAUCCACUUCCCAUCUUUUCACACUUUCAGCACUUUCCUUGGAGCAAAUCAAAUUCUGUUCUAGAAGAACAUCUAAAAGAUGAAGAUUCUACUGUUGCCUUUCGUCAGAGUUCAGACAUAACUAUGGAAGCUCCCCUCAUUUCAUUUCAUGAGUACAUACUCUCUUAGGACCUGUGCUAUAUAUACUUUGACCCAUCUGCCAAGUUCCCAAAUGCAAGGACAUACAAAUAACUGGAAAAUAUAUACAUACUGAUUAUGAUAAAACCUUUGGGGGAAAAAAAAAAAAAGCCCUGUUAGGGAGUUUCACACUGUUUAAUAUAAGAGUAGUAACUCAUAUCACCAGCUAAGGAGGCUAGAAUUCUUGUCUCAAUUCCAAUUCAGGGAACUCUCAAUAAUCAUCAAUAGAUCAAAUGAUUAUGCUAUGAAAAAAAAAUCUAUUUUUUACCCUUAAUUCCUAAAGAGAAGGUAGCACACAUCUCCUGUACAGUCUAUGAGGCAUCUGCCUGGACAUAGAUAUGGAUAAACUUCUAACAUGCCUUUGACCUCAGAUGGUCCUGUUUUGUGACAUUAAAGAAACAUCUGAUAUUCCAUGCUCCUGGGUUGGAAAAAUUAACAGCAUAAAAAUGGUCAUACUACCCAAAGCAAUCUACAGAUUCAAUGCAAUCCCUAUCAAAUUACCCCUGACAUUUUUUUCACAGAACUGGAACAAACAAUCUAAAAAUUUAUAUGGAACCACAAAAGAUCCUGAAUUGCCAAAGCAUUCCUGAGGAACAAAAACCACAUAGGAGGCAUAACUCUCCCAGACUUCAGGCAAUAUUACAAAGCCACAGUAAUCAAGACAGUGUGGUAAUGAUGCCAAAACAGACACACAGACCAAUGGGACAGAAUAGAGAGCCCAAAGAUAAACCCAGACACCUACAGUCAAUUAACUUCCACAAAGCAGGCAAGAAUAUAAAAUGGGAAAACGACGGUCUUUUCCAUAGGUGGUACUGGGACAACUGGACAGCUGCAUGCAAAUCAGUGAAACUAGAACACACUCUCACACCAUGCACCAAAAUAAACUCAAAAUGGCUUAAAAGACUUAAA
RNAcentral lists this long non-coding RNA (5106 nucleotides) under Sus scrofa (pig). RNAcentral describes it as "lncRNA (ENSSSCG00060065101.1)". The record is from RNAcentral. Lineage: Eukaryota; Metazoa; Chordata; Mammalia; Artiodactyla; Suidae.